Molecule: ribosomal RNA, 459 nt
Filed under: uncultured bacterium
Lineage: Bacteria
Description: partial 16S ribosomal RNA
Rfam family: Bacterial small subunit ribosomal RNA
Source: RNAcentral
CCUACGGGUGGCAGCAGUGAGGAAUAUUGGUCAAUGGACGAGAGUCUGAACCAGCCAAGUAGCGUGAAGGAUGACUGCCCUAUGGGUUGUAAACUUCUUUUAUAUGGGAAUAAAAUGUUCCACGUGUGGGAUUUUGUAUGUACCAUAUGAAUAAGGAUCGGCUAACUCCGUGCCAGCAGCCGCGGUAAUACGGAGGAUCCGAGCGUUAUCCGGAUUUAUUGGGUUUAAAGGGUGCGUAGGCGGACUGGAAAGUCAGCGGUAAAAUCGAGAGGCUCAACCUCUUUCCGCCGUUGAAACUGUCGGUCUUGAGUGGGCGAGAAGUAUGCGGAAUGCGUGGUGUAGCGGUGAAAUGCAUAGAUAUCACGCAGAACUCCGAUUGCGAAGGCAGCAUACCGGCGCCCGACUGACGCUGAGGCACGAAAGCGUGGGUAUCGAACAGGAUUAGAUACCCGAGUAGUC